CUAGCUGUAAACGAUGGAUACUAGGCGUUGAGAGUAUCGACCCUCUCAGUGUCGCAGCUAACGCGUUAAGUAUCCCGCCUGGGGAGUACGCGCGCAAGCGUGAAACUCAAAGGAAUUGACGGGGGCCCGCACAAGCGGUGGAGUAUGUGGUUUAAUUCGAUGCAACGCGAAGAACCUUACCAGGGCUUGACAUGUCCGGAACCCUGCCCAAAGGCGGGGGUGCCUACGGGAACCGGAACACAGGUGGUGC
Molecule: ribosomal RNA, 250 nt
Filed under: uncultured Chroococcidiopsis sp.
Lineage: Bacteria; Bacillati; Cyanobacteriota; Cyanophyceae; Chroococcidiopsidales; Chroococcidiopsidaceae
Description: partial 16S ribosomal RNA
Rfam family: Bacterial small subunit ribosomal RNA
Source: RNAcentral